RNAcentral lists this ribosomal RNA (381 nucleotides) under Triticum aestivum (bread wheat). Its description in RNAcentral is "partial small subunit ribosomal RNA". The record is from RNAcentral. Lineage: Eukaryota; Viridiplantae; Streptophyta; Magnoliopsida; Poales; Poaceae.
AUGUGGAGAGACAAAUGUGUGUUUCUGUGCAAAAAGGACCUUCGUCUCUGUUGUAUUUGCUUCCGAUAUUCGGUGCCAUCAAACCAGAGCCACACCCCUAUUUCAUCUCCCAACUGCUUCCGGACGGCGGCGGCGGCGCUCCAGCUCCGGCGUCACAGCAGCGGCAUGAGAUCGACGGCGACCAUGGUGGCGACUGCGACGACCCCGUCGCGGACGUUAUUCUCCCCCAUCGUUAGACUUCUGGUACAGAAGGGAGCCGGGUUGGGAACAAGAAGCUCCCACGCCAUCACCCUCAUCAGCAGCAUGGCCUACUCCUUCGGCUGUGAAUAUGCCUUCAACCUCAAGGCGCAAUCCUGGUAUGCUCUCGACUUGGCCGGCUAG